GAGAGAGAGAGAGAGAGAGAGAACAGCAGUCACUGUGUAAUGCACUAGUAAGACUGAGAAGACAGAGAGGAAGAGGAAUAAAAAUGAAAAUGCGUUACUACUGAACGCGGCAGAGCAGAAGACCUAAGAACCAUUCUGGACACACACUUGGACACAGAACACGGCGAGCUUUACAGAAACCUUCUCUACAGGAAGAUAACAGAUGACAGCUGGGGUUCGGUGAGAUCUGAUUGGCUACCUGUUCCUCUGCCAGCUGCAGUAAAAAAAAAAAAAAAAAAACCACCCAAAAGCACAAGAGCUGCGUUAUCCAUGACUUCUUAAAGCAGCAGCGGCAGAUCUGCAGUCAUCUUCCUGCUCUGGUGGCUUUCUGGUUUGUCUCAAAGAUGCCUGCUGCGUGCUUACCUUGGGAAAGUCAUAAAAGAGAUUCUUUUGAGUCAGGAAUAAUGGCAUGUUUUAGGUAGAAGGAAACAGAGAUAGCAGCAGACACACAGACAGAGAGUUGAAGAAGUGAGUAAAAUUUUCCGACUGCUGUUCAUGUUCAUGUAGGUCAGGAUUGUUUCAGCUACUAAUUGGCCAAUCGUGUAUCAUACAGGGUCAGGUGUCCCGGCCUGGCCUCCGCUUUACUGCUGCAUGCCCAAUAAGUCUCUCUAGAGCAUGCAUUCAGACGUAGUUUUUGCCAAGAGGGUGUGUGUGGGAGCGAGAGAAACGGAGAGGUCUGUGUUUUGCAAUGAUGUAAUCAGAGUCCAUGCCAGUGAGAACUCGAGUCAUUGAGCUUUACACGAUACUCAGCCGAGCUCAACCGACAACCAAGUGACAUGCCAAUCCUUCGUCAUUUAUUUACCUGUGGCUUUUUGUAGCCUGCUUCAUCGCAGACACCUGAUUCCUCUUCUCCCUCUACUUCUUCUAGAGCUCUGGCUGAGUUUAGCUGACCUCUCUCCCUCUCUCUCUCUUACAUUCUCCCACUCAUCGUCUAACUUUAAUCAAGUAAAUGGAUGCAUUCAAAUGCUGCUAAUUUCAGUGCAGGUAAUUGCUCGCCUUUAAUUAAAUGCGAUCAAAAGAGCAUUUUAAGUGAUUAAAAGAAUCAAAACGACACAGUUACGGCCUCAGGAUAUUACGGAUGGAAGGAUAUACAAUGCUGCGUCAGACGAAAGAUAUUUCCUUUGGAUUUUUUAUGGACAGCCAUUCCAGUCGAAUAAUAAGUCAUUGUUAGAUGCAAAUGCACAUCGGUGCUGUAUCAGCUCUAAGGCCCCUUUUUUUUUUUCUUUCCUGAUGGUCUAUAAAUGACAGUUGAGUGACUGUACAGUCUUUAAGACCAGCUGUGCAGUGUAAUGCAGUUUUUGAAGAUUGAAAUUGACAUAGCAUAUGCAGCACGGUACAGAAGUGUGUAUAUAUGCAUGUAAAACCAUCAUUAUUAUCAAUACUGCGAAUUUGUGCAGACAAUACUUGAGUCCAUUAUAUGCAAAUUAAGGGUUUGAAACAAUAUUUAAUCUUUUUUUAUAUAUAUAUAUAUCUGUAUGUCUAUUAUUGCUCUCAACAGCUGAUUUAGAUCUCAAGCUCUGCUUUCAUAUAUACAACAUUUAGUCCAUUUAAAUAUAAAACAUGAAAAAAUUUUAGCCUAUGUAUAGUAUGAUUUGAUUACAUAUUUAGCACAGGCUACAUGUUCUUGGGUGAUUAAUUUUGUGGUAUUGUGUACACUGUCAAUAAAGAAAUCAUAUUCUACUCCAUU
Ictalurus punctatus (channel catfish) is the source of this 1726-nucleotide long non-coding RNA. RefSeq lists it as uncharacterized. The record is from RefSeq and is a predicted model, not a curated record. Lineage: Eukaryota; Metazoa; Chordata; Actinopteri; Siluriformes; Ictaluridae. The transcript is spliced from 2 exons.